RNAcentral lists this ribosomal RNA (305 nucleotides) under uncultured bacterium. RNAcentral's name for it is "bacterial SSU rRNA". It matches the Rfam family "Bacterial small subunit ribosomal RNA", at positions 337 to 640 of the family's 1533-position model. The record is from RNAcentral.
ACCUACGGGGCGCAGCAGUGAGGAAUAUUGGUCAAUGGUCGGGAGACUGAACCAGCCAAGCCGCGUGAGGGAGGAAGGUACAGAGUAUCGUAAACCUCUUUUGUCGGGGAACAAAGGCGGGGACGUGUCCCCGGAUGAGUGUACCUGAAGAAAAAGCAUCGGCUAACUCCGUGCCAGCAGCCGCGGUAAUACGGAGGAUGCGAGCGUUAUCCGGAUUUAUUGGGUUUAAAGGGUGCGCAGGCGGUCUGUUAAGUCAGCGGUCAAAGCCCGGGGCUCAACCCCGGCCCGCCGUUGAAACUGGCAGG